This 253-nucleotide ribosomal RNA is filed under the name uncultured bacterium. RNAcentral describes it as "partial 16S ribosomal RNA". It matches the Rfam family "Bacterial small subunit ribosomal RNA", at positions 524 to 776 of the family's 1533-position model. The record is from RNAcentral.
UACGAAGGGGGCUAGCGUUGCUCGGAAUUACUGGGCGUAAAGGGCGCGUAGGCGGACAGUUUAGUCAGAGGUGAAAGCCCAGGGCUCAACCUUGGAAUUGCCUUUGAUACUGGCUGUCUUGAGUUCGGGAGAGGUGAGUGGAAUGCCUAGUGUAGAGGUGAAAUUCGUAGAUAUUCGGCGGAACACCAGUGGCGAAGGCGACUCACUGGCCCGAUACUGACGCUGAGGCGCGAAAGCGUGGGGAGCAAACAGG